RNAcentral lists this long non-coding RNA (339 nucleotides) under Olea europaea (common olive). RNAcentral describes it as "long non-coding RNA (OEUR_LNC013059)". The record is from RNAcentral. Lineage: Eukaryota; Viridiplantae; Streptophyta; Magnoliopsida; Lamiales; Oleaceae.
UGUUUAUAUGGUUCACCACUAUGGCUUUACAUUGAGAAACUAAUUUAGAUAAAGCAUGGAAACCAAAAAGCUAUGAGGAGAAAAAAGUAAUUUAACCUGCAUUAGUAUUUUUAAUCACUUAAAAAAAAAACUCAAACACAUCAUUAACAACACAAACUAUUCGGCUAGAAUACCUUCGCCUUUGAAAAAUUAAUUACAAAAAAGGUAGAAACAUAAAAUCAAUUAUAAAUUUGUUCCAAGGCACGAAAACCAUCCAACUAUGUUCAAAUGACGAUGGAAAACAACUAAAAACUCUUGAAAUCAUGCAUUAAAAAAAAAAAAACACAAACACACCCACAU